GAAACCAUAAAGUGAAAACAGCCUCACCUCCGACUGUUACGAACGCCCUGACACUGGAGACUCCUUCCGCAAAACGUUAGCCUACAUAAACAUCUCUUUACAGAAAACAUGACUCAAGGUUACAAGUAUGAAGUCAAAUAAAAUCCAAACACCUUCCUUUAUUCGCAUUCGUACCAGUGUUUCAAAAGAUAAGGCUAAGAUGGGUGCAGCAGGUGGAGUCAGAUCUAAAGACGUGGCCGAAAUACGAAUGUAAACAAACAAACAAACAAACAAACAAACAAAUAAUUCCCGUAUACCACAGUGUGGUUGAAUUCUCAAGGACAGAAGAUGUAGUCAGAAGACGUGGAUUAAUUUUAUUUAAGCGUCCGGCUCUGGGAGUAGUUCUCGCUGUAGCAUAAACAACAGGGUUCUAUGUCAAACAUUUAUCUCGUGGUUCCUUCAGUGGGCGGAGUUUUAGAGGUAAAUUGUUAAAUUUAUUUAACAAAUAUAGCCUAAUAAUUUAUUUCGUUAAUUUUUUGCUACGCAUGCGCAGUUGGAGUGACGGCACCUGUGGUUGUUACGUCACGCUCAUAUUCAAGUUUUUGUUUAUUGUUGUUUGUUUUUUUUAAAUAAAAACGGUCUGAGGCCGGACAGAAAUACAGCUCAUUCCUCACGGUACCGAAUAACGAGCGAAUUGGGGAUGGAUCCGAAGCAGCCGCGGGAUUUUCCGCCCGUUCACGAGCCGCCGAACCCCGAGAGAAACUUCCAGACGCCGCGGUUCUCGGAUCAGCGUGACGGUCCGAAGCCGUCGCCGAGUACGAGCACGAGCACGCGCACUCCGGUAGCGGGGCAGUUCGAGCCACUGGAGUUCUACGGUGCACGCGCAGAGGAGCCGCAGGGCGCGCGCAGCGAGACGGACGACGACGUGUGCGAGCUUAACAUCAAACUUAAAACGCUGGAGCUGGAACAGCUGAUAGGAUCCGAGGACCCGAGAUAGCAGACGAAAGCGGUGCAAAAACUGUGAAACUAAUUUUUCUGGAGUUAAUGUGCAGUGAAACAGAGACGGGAUUAUUUCAGGAGAGGCGGUCAAUUAAAAGAAAUGUGAAUAAAAGUGUUAUUGUGGCAUAAAAUUUGUAAUUACUUCCAAGUAG
Ictalurus furcatus (blue catfish) is the source of this 1130-nucleotide long non-coding RNA. RefSeq lists it as uncharacterized. NCBI's taxonomy places the organism in Eukaryota, Metazoa, Chordata, Actinopteri, Siluriformes, Ictaluridae. The transcript is spliced from 3 exons. The record is from RefSeq and is a predicted model, not a curated record.